UACGGAGGGAGCUAGCGUUGUUCGGAAUUACUGGGCGUAAAGCGCGCGUAGGCGGCUUUGUAAGUUAGAGGUGAAAGCCCGGGGCUCAACUCCGGAACUGCCUUUAAGACUGCAUCGCUUGAAUCCGGGAGAGGUGAGUGGAAUUCCGAGUGUAGAGGUGAAAUUCGUAGAUAUUCGCAAGAACACCAGUGGCGAAGGCGGCUCACUGGUCCGGUACUGACGCUGAGACGCGAAAGCGUGGGGAGCGAACAGG
This 253-nucleotide ribosomal RNA is filed under the name uncultured bacterium. Its description in RNAcentral is "partial 16S ribosomal RNA". It matches the Rfam family "Bacterial small subunit ribosomal RNA", at positions 524 to 776 of the family's 1533-position model. The record is from RNAcentral.